UGUAAGUUCCUCACUCCAGUUCAAAAUGGUUGCACAUCGAGGACAUACCGAGAAGCAGAGACAAGCAACACCCACCCGCGAGUCUAUAAAUAAUAUAAACACGCCGUCGACUCACAUAACCUUCAGACGGAGAACCUGAAAGGAUCGCAGCCUCACUUUCUAAACAAAGCAAUGGCGCCAGGCGAUGUUAUGAACCCCCACUACGGGUGGGGGUUGAAGAAAAAUCCCCACCUGCUGAAAGAAUACACUGAGAAAUAUGUAGGAAAGUCACUGCACCACCCCUCUGCAUUGCUGUCCACUGCCAAGCAUGGCUCAGCUGAGCAGGUGGUGAGGAAGGUGCUCCUAACCAAGGCAAUGUGUGAAAUCUUCGUUAUCUUGGCUAAUGGUCAAAGGUGUCAGAUGCUCCUAAGCGCCAUGCAGCUGCAAGUAAUGAUUGUGAGCAUUUUCAAAGAGGAAGUGCUGAAAAUGCUCAUCAAAAAAGGAUACAAUAAGGAUAAUAUCAGGCUGGUGGCUGAUGACAAGCCACUGGAUGAUGACUCUGCACCAGUGAAAAAAUACGGGAUCAAAGCCGGCUCAACUGUACAGAUGACAGACAACCUGGAAAGAUCACAUGUUCCCCGCCUAAACAAGGAAAAUUGUAAACUCGGCAUUAUCUUGCCUGAUGGUCGGAGGUUGUCAAUGAUGCUGUGCCCCGGACAGCUGCAGAGUAUGACUGUAAGCCAGUUCAAAGAGGACAUACUGAGAGUGUGGGCCAUCCAUGGAUACACUGAGAAACAUGUCACUCUGCAAGUUGAAGGCAAGACACUGGACAACCCCUCUGCAUUGCUGGCUGAUUGCGGAAUCAAAGCCGGCUCAAUUGUGCAGAUGCUUUUAGAAGUCUUCAUUAUCUUGCCUGAUGGUCGGAGGGUGUCGAUGAUGCUGUGCCCCGGACAACUGCAGAGUAUGACUGUAAGCCAGUUCAAAGAGGACAUACUGAGAGUGUGGGCCAUCCAUGGAUACACUGAGAAACAUGUCACUCUGCAAGUUGAAGGCAAGACACUGGACAACCCCUCUGCAUUGCUGGCUGAUUGCGGAAUCAAAGCCGGCUCAAUUGUGCAGAUGUUUUUAGAAGUCUUCAUUAUCUUGCCUGAUGGUCGGAGGCACGUGAUGCCUCUGAGCGCUAAACAGCUGCAAGAAAUGACUGUGAGCCUUCUCGAAGAGGAAGUGCUAAAAAUGCUCAUGAUGAAAACUGUUGUAGGAUACACUAAGGAUGUUUUGAAGCUGCACAUUGAUGGCAUGCCACUGGACAACGGCUUUGUACUAAAAAUCAAAGCCGGCAAAAAAGUGCAGGCGGUGAUUAUGGUUCACGGAGGAUGAAGGAGUCCAUCAUGAAUUCAUGUGACUACAUCAAAUUUACAGGAUAUACCGAACCAUAAAUACAUGUAAAGAACAAAACAAAAAAUUCUGAUUGAAGUAUUGCAUCUAUGGCUUUCCUUCUCCUUUGUACUUUCUUCACAUUUUACGCCUCCUAUCAUACCUAUAGUCAGCACUAAUUCAGUAUUACAUAUUAAUAAUGAUUAAUUGAGGUGCAAAAGUUUUGUUUUAUUUUAUUACCAAGUUUCUGGGGCUUCUGUUUUCGCAGUCAGAGGUGUGUGCCUGAGAUGACAAUAUUAGCUCAUAUUAUUAUUGUUACAGGAAGAAAUUAGAAUAAAUGUAACGAUACACAGACGAACCUCCACAAAGUAAAUACUGAAACAAACGAACACAUUGAUUGUCAAUUUCCUAUGUGAUACAUUAUCUUUUUACAAUGUACAUGAAUAAAUGCACAUCACCAAAUGUUAUUGGUUGGCUCACUGAUGUCUGUAUGUAAACAUUGUGAUUCACAAAUGAUCCUAGAUUAUAUUUUAAAACGUAAUUGUUCAUUUUCUGUGACAUGUUUUGUUCAGUUAACAAUCACAACAAUUAAGUAAAUCUUUUUCAGAAUAUGUUUAAUGACUCAAAGCUAAAUGUGGAAGAAAUAAAUAGGAAUCUGGCUUCCUCGUGGUUUGCAUCAUUUAACUUUGAUAAAAUAGAAGACUGUCUCGGAGAAAUCAGACUGUCAAUGAAAAAAUUAAAUGCAAAACGUUCCAUUAUGUAACCUCAAAGAAACGUUCUCUGAGGAAAUUUCCACCUUAUCCUGAUUAUUAUAUUAGUUUAGCUGUUUCUGUAAAUACUUUAAAAUCAACAUUGGGACAACUAAACCACAUUUUCCAAUAACAAAUUUAAAGAAGAGAUCAUAUUUUACAUGAUGAUUUUUACUUAUCUGCAUGGGCUCUAAGUAACGUCAUGGCAGGAAGAAAGAAAAAUCUACAAGCUUAUAUCAAAUGAGGUGUUGCUAACUUGUUCAAAUCCUGGCGUUGGAGCUUGGACAAUUCAGGCCAAUAUUUUACUCAAAUACAUCAGGCCACAUUUAAGUAUUUUGUUAUGAUCUUUAAUUUGAGUUUCUAGUUAUAAUCUUAAUUAUUUUUACCCUUUGCUCUUUUCACCACACCAAACCAAUAAAGGACCAAACUGCCUGUCCAUUUCUUGCUCCACUCUCCC
Long non-coding RNA from Astatotilapia calliptera (eastern happy), 2559 nucleotides. Lineage: Eukaryota; Metazoa; Chordata; Actinopteri; Cichliformes; Cichlidae. The record is from Ensembl.